RNAcentral lists this ribosomal RNA (309 nucleotides) under uncultured bacterium. Its description in RNAcentral is "partial 16S ribosomal RNA". It matches the Rfam family "Bacterial small subunit ribosomal RNA", at positions 504 to 807 of the family's 1533-position model. The record is from RNAcentral.
AGAGACAGCAGUCGCCACGGUAAUACGGAAGGUCCAGGCGUUAUCCGGAUUUAUUGGGUUUAAAGGGAGUGUAGGCGGUCUGUUAAGCGCGUUGUGAAAUUUAGGUGCUCAACAUCUAACUUGCAGCGCGAACUGGCGGACUUGAGUGCACGCAACGUAUGCGGAAUUCAUGGUGUAGCGGUGAAAUGCUUAGAUAUCAUGACGAACUCCGAUUGCGAAGGCAGCGUACGGGAGUGUUACUGACGCUUAAGCUCGAAGGUGCGGGUAUCGAACAGGAUUAGAUACCCCAGUAGUCCCUGUCUCUUAUAC